Molecule: long non-coding RNA, 624 nt
Organism: Symsagittifera roscoffensis
Lineage: Eukaryota; Metazoa; Xenacoelomorpha; Acoela; Convolutidae
Exons: 5
Source: RefSeq, a predicted model, not a curated record
GGUCUAGCUUGGCUUAUUGACAGACCAAUUUAUUGACAGACCUCAUAUUAAAAUGCUAUUUAACAUACCAACACUACUGUUAUGCUUAUCAAUAUUCUCUUUGCUAAUUUUUGAUGGCUGGACUGCCGAGGCAAUUGAGUUUGUUCUACCGGACCCGAUUUCCGGACUAGGAUCAGCAUGCUCCAACUUUAGUGACUAUUUCUGUAUGAGUCGAUACUGGACGUCCGUAAAAAACGAGUCUCGUAGUCACCAUUGGAAUGACACUUUCCAGAUUGAAAUGCUUACUUUGUCAAAUUACAGAAGCAUUAAUUGGUAUUCUUUCUUCGUUUACGAUAUUCCAGGUCUAGGUUGCUGCUACUACCAAAUCAGAACAUAUUCACACUUUGGUCAAAAAUUUGGAAUGUCUCCUAAAAACUACAUUAGAAAAAUUGGAGACUUCAGAAGCAGAGGAAAAAGUCUGAGAGUAAUCAAGGCUCGAUAUGAAGUCACGUUAUGUCUGAAUGUAAUCGUCGAAAUUGGCUUCGGCACACACCGACCCGAAGUCAAAAUAACAGGAGGAAAACCAGGGAAAAGUUUUGUUCUACCUGUACUUCCUAUGGAAAAAAACGUGAAAUUAUUUGGGAA